Molecule: ribosomal RNA, 301 nt
Filed under: uncultured bacterium
Lineage: Bacteria
Description: partial 16S ribosomal RNA
Rfam family: Bacterial small subunit ribosomal RNA
Source: RNAcentral
CAGUCGCCACGGUAAUACGUAGGGUGCAAGCGUUAAUCGGAAUUACUGGGCGUAAAGCGUGCGCAGGCGGUUAUAUAAGACAGAUGUGAAAUCCCCGGGCUCAACCUGGGAACUGCAUUUGUGACUGUAUAGCUAGAGUACGGCAGAGGGGGAUGGAAUUCCGCGUGUAGCAGUGAAAUGCGUAGAUAUGCGGAGGAACACCGAUGGCGAAGGCAAUCCCCUGGGCUUGUACUGACGCUCAUGCACGAAAGCGUGGGGAGCAAACAGGAUUAGAUACCCCCGUAGUCCCUGUCUCUUAUAC